RNAcentral lists this ribosomal RNA (503 nucleotides) under uncultured bacterium. Its description in RNAcentral is "partial 16S ribosomal RNA". It matches the Rfam family "Bacterial small subunit ribosomal RNA", at positions 30 to 523 of the family's 1533-position model. The record is from RNAcentral.
AUUGAACGCUGGCGGCAGGCUUAACACAUGCAAGUCGAGCGGGGUGAUGGUGCUUGCACUAUCACUUAGCGGCGGACGGGUGAGUAAUGCUUAGGAAUCUGCCUAUUAGUGGGGGACAACAUCUCGAAAGGGAUGCUAAUACCGCAUACGUCCUACGGGAGAAAGAAGGGGAUCACUUGUGACCUUGCGCUAAUAGAUGAGCCUAAGUCGGAUUAGCUAGUUGGUGGGGUAGAGGCCUACCAAGGGGACGAUCUGUAGCGGGUCUGAGAGGAUGAUCCGCCACACUGGGACUGAGACACGGCCCAGACUCCUACGGGAGGCAGCAGUGGGGAAUAUUGGACAAUGGGGGGAACCCUGAUCCAGCCAUGCCGCGUGUGUGAAGAAGGCCUUAUGGUUGUAAAGCACUUUAAGCGAGGAGGAGGCUCUUUUGGUUAAUACCCAAGAUGAGUGGACGUUACUCGCAGAAUAAGCACCGGCUAACUCUGUGCCAGCAGCCGCGGUAA